This 475-nucleotide ribosomal RNA is filed under the name uncultured organism. RNAcentral's name for it is "partial 16S ribosomal RNA". It matches the Rfam family "Bacterial small subunit ribosomal RNA", at positions 335 to 801 of the family's 1533-position model. The record is from RNAcentral.
ACUCCUGCGGGAGGCAGCAGUGGGGAAUUUUGGACAAUGGGCGAAAGCCUGAUCCAGCCAUGCCGCGUGCAGGAUGAAGGCCUUCGGGUUGUAAACUGCUUUUGUACGGAACGAAACGGCCUUUUCUAAUAAAGAGGGCUAAUGACGGUACCGUAAGAAUAAGCACCGGCUAACUACGUGCCAGCAGCCGCGGUAAUACGUAGGGUGCAAGCGUUAAUCGGAAUUACUGGGCGUAAAGCGUGCGCAGGCGGUUAUGUAAGACAGUUGUGAAAUCCCCGGGCUCAACCUGGGAACUGCAUCUGUGACUGCAUAGCUAGAGUACGGUAGAGGGGGAUGGAAUUCCGCGUGUAGCAGUGAAAUGCGUAGAUAUGCGGAGGAACACCGAUGGCGAAGGCAAUCCCCUGGACCUGUACUGACGCUCAUGCACGAAAGCGUGGGGAGCAAACAGGAUUAGAUACCCGAGUAGUCCCAUGAU